Molecule: transfer RNA, 76 nt
Filed under: Glaciimonas sp.
Lineage: Bacteria; Pseudomonadati; Pseudomonadota; Betaproteobacteria; Burkholderiales; Oxalobacteraceae
Description: tRNA-Asn
Rfam family: tRNA
About the family: Transfer RNA (tRNA) molecules are approximately 80 nucleotides in length. Their secondary structure includes four short double-helical elements and three loops (D, anti-codon, and T loops).
Source: RNAcentral
UCCCUGAUAGCUCAGCUGGUAGAGCGACGGACUGUUAAUCCGCAGGUCCCAGGUUCGAGUCCUGGUCGGGGAGCCA